UAGGGAAUCUUCCACAAUGAGCGCAAGCCUGAUGGAGCAACACCGCGUGAGUGAAGAAGGGUUUCGGCUCGUAAAGCUCUGUUGUUAAAGAAGAACACGUAUGAGAGUAACUGUUCAUACGUUGACGGUUAUUUAACCAGAAAGUCACGGCUAACUACGUGUCAG
This 165-nucleotide ribosomal RNA is filed under the name uncultured bacterium. RNAcentral describes it as "partial 16S ribosomal RNA". It matches the Rfam family "Bacterial small subunit ribosomal RNA", at positions 355 to 511 of the family's 1533-position model. The record is from RNAcentral.